UACGAAGGGGGCUGGCGUUGCUCGGAAUCACCGGGCGUAAAGGGUGCGUAGGCGGGUCUUUAAGUCAGGGGUGAAAUCCUGGAGCUCAACUCCAGAACUGCCUUUGAUACUGAAGAUCUUGAGUUCGGGAGAGGUGAGUGGAACUGCGAGUGUAGAGGUGAAAUUCGUAGAUAUUCGCAAGAACACCAGUGGCGAAGGCGGCUCACUGGCCCGAUACUGACGCUGAGGCACGAAGGCGUGGGGAGCAAACAGG
Molecule: ribosomal RNA, 253 nt
Filed under: uncultured bacterium
Lineage: Bacteria
Description: partial 16S ribosomal RNA
Rfam family: Bacterial small subunit ribosomal RNA
Source: RNAcentral